GACGACGGAUAGCUUGCUACUCGCUGACGAGCGGCGGACGGGUGAGUAACGCGUAGGAAUCUACCCAGUGGUGGGGGAUAGCCCGGGGAAACUCGGAUUAAUACCGUAUACGUUCUACGGAAGAAAGCGGGGGCUCUUCGGACCUCGCGCCAUUGGAUGAGCCUGCGUUAGAUUAGCUAGUUGGUGGGGUAAAGGCCUACCAAGGCGACGAUCUAUAGCUGGUCUGAGAGGAUGAUCAGCCACACUGGGACUGAGACACAGCCCAGACUCCUACGGGAGGCAGCAGUGGGGAAUAUUGGACAAUGGGGGCAACCCUGAUCCAGCCAUGCCGCGUGUGUGAAGAAGGCUUUCGGGUUGUAAAGCACUUUAAGUAGGGAGAAAGGCUAUAACGUUAAUAGCGUUGUAGAUUGAUGUUACCUACAGAAUAAGCACCGGCUAACUCCGUGCCAGCAGCCGCGGUAAUACGGAGGGUGCAAGCGUUAAUCGGAAUUACUGGGCGUAAAGCGCGCGUAGGCGGUUUGCUAAGCCAGAUGUGAAAGCCCUGGGCUCAACCUGGGAACUGCAUUUGGAACUGGCAGGCUAGAGUACGGUAGAGGGUGGUAGAAUUUCCUGUGUAGCGGUGAAAUGCGUAGAUAUAGGAAGGAAUACCG
Molecule: ribosomal RNA, 650 nt
Filed under: uncultured bacterium
Lineage: Bacteria
Description: bacterial SSU rRNA
Rfam family: Bacterial small subunit ribosomal RNA
Source: RNAcentral